This 307-nucleotide ribosomal RNA is filed under the name uncultured Lactobacillus sp. Its description in RNAcentral is "bacterial SSU rRNA". It matches the Rfam family "Bacterial small subunit ribosomal RNA", at positions 389 to 688 of the family's 1533-position model. The record is from RNAcentral. Lineage: Bacteria; Bacillati; Bacillota; Bacilli; Lactobacillales; Lactobacillaceae.
CGGCCCCGGCCGCUGAGUGAAGAAGGUUUUCGGAUCGUAAAGCUCUGUUGUUGGUGAAGAAGGAUAGAGGCAGUAACUGGUCUUUAUUUGACGGUAAUCAACCAGAAAGUCACGGCUAACUACGUGCCAGCAGCCGCGGUAAUACGUAGGUGGCAAGCGUUGUCCGGAUUUAUUGGGCGUAAAGCGAGCGCAGGCGGAAUGAUAAGUCUGAUGUGAAAGCCCACGGCUCAACCGUGGAACUGCAUCGGAAACUGUCAUUCUUGAGUGCAGAAGAGGAGAGUGGAACUCCAUGUGUAGCGGUGAAAUA